ACCAGACUCCUACGGGAGGCAGCAGUGGGGAAUAUUGGACAAUGGGGGGAACCCUGAUCCAGCGACGCCGCGUGAGUGAAGAAGUAUUUCGGUAUGUAAAGCUCUAUCAGCAGGGAAGAAAGAAAUGACGGUACCUGACUAAGAAGCCCCGGCUAACUACGUGCCAGCAGCCGCGGUAAUACGUAGGGGGCAAGCGUUAUUCGGAUUUACUGGGUGUAAAGGGGGCGCAGACGGCAGCGCAAGCCAGGAGUGAAAGCCCGGGGCCCAACCCCGGGACUGCUCUUGGAACUGCGCGGCUGGAGUGCAGGAGGGGCAGGCGGAAUUCCUGGUGUAGCGGUGAAAUGCGUAGAUAUCAGGAGGAACACCGGUGGCGAAGGCGGCCUGCUGGACUGCGACUGACGUUGAGGCCCGAAAGCGUGGGGAGCAAACAGGAUUAGAUACCCCAGUA
This 448-nucleotide ribosomal RNA is filed under the name uncultured bacterium. RNAcentral's name for it is "partial 16S ribosomal RNA". It matches the Rfam family "Bacterial small subunit ribosomal RNA", at positions 330 to 792 of the family's 1533-position model. The record is from RNAcentral.